AUGGGGGAAACCCUGACGCAGCGACGCCGUGUGAGGGAAGAAGGCCUUCGGGUCGUAAACCUCUGUCGGGAGGGAAGAACCGCCGGGUUCCGAACAGGGACUCGGCCUGACGGUACCUCCGAAGGAAGCGCCGGCUAACUCCGUGCCAGCAGCCGCGGUAAUA
This 163-nucleotide ribosomal RNA is filed under the name uncultured bacterium. RNAcentral describes it as "partial 16S ribosomal RNA". It matches the Rfam family "Bacterial small subunit ribosomal RNA", at positions 371 to 525 of the family's 1533-position model. The record is from RNAcentral.